UUAAGCAUAUCAAUAAGCGGAGGAAAAGAAACCAACAGGGAUUGCCCUAGUAACGGCGAGUGAAGCGGCAACAGCUCAAAUUUGAAAUCUGGCUCUUUCAGAGUCCGAGUUGUAAUUUGCAGAGGGCGCUUUGGCGUUGGCAGCGGUCCAAGUUCUUUGGAACAGGACGUCACAGAGGGUGAGAAUCCCGUACGUGGUCGCUAACCUUCGCCGUGUAAAGCCCCUUCGACGAGUCGAGUUGUUUGGGAAUGCAGCUCUAAAUGGGAGGUAAAUUUCUUCUAAAGCUAAAUACUGGCCAGAGACCGAUAGCGCACAAGUAGAGUGAUCGAAAGAUGAAAAGCACUUUGGAAAGAGAGUCAAAUAGCACGUGAAAUUGUUGAAAGGGAAGCGCUUGCAGCCAGACUUGCCUGUAGUUGCUUAUCCGGACUUUUGUCCGGUGCACUCUUCUGCAGGCAGGCCAGCAUCAGUUUGGGCGGUUGGAUAAAGGUCUCUAUCACGUACCUCCCUUCGGGGUUGGCCUUAUAGGGGAGACGUCAUGCAACCAGCCUGGACUGAGGUCCGCGCAUCUGCUAGGAUGCUGGCGUAAUGGCUGUAAGCGGCCCGUCUUGAAACACGGACCAAGGAGUCUAACAUCUAUGCGAGUGUUUGGGUGUCAAGCCCAGACGCGUAAUGAAAGUGAACGGAGGUGGGAACCUUUUAGGUGCACCAUCGACCGAUCCUGAUGUCUUCGGAUGGAUUUGAGUAAGAGCAUGGCUGUUGGGACCCGAAAGAUGGUGAACUAUGCUUGAAUAGGGUGAAGCCAGAGGAAACUCUGGUGGAGGCUCGCAGCGGUUCUGACGUGCAAAUCGAUCGUCAAAUUUGGGCAUAGGGGCGAAAGACUAAUCG
Molecule: ribosomal RNA, 885 nt
Filed under: Wojnowicia italica
Lineage: Eukaryota; Fungi; Ascomycota; Dothideomycetes; Pleosporales; Phaeosphaeriaceae
Description: eukaryotic LSU rRNA
Rfam family: Eukaryotic large subunit ribosomal RNA
Source: RNAcentral